Molecule: ribosomal RNA, 510 nt
Filed under: uncultured bacterium
Lineage: Bacteria
Description: bacterial SSU rRNA
Rfam family: Bacterial small subunit ribosomal RNA
Source: RNAcentral
GAGUUUGAUCUUGGCUCAGAUUGAACGCUGGCGGCAGGCCUAACACAUGCAAGUCGAGCGGUAGAGAGAAGCUUGCUUCUCUUGAGAGCGGCGGACGGGUGAGUAAUGCCUAGGAAUUUGCCUGGUAGUGGGGGAUAACGCUCGGAAACGGACGCUAAUACCGCAUACGUCCUACGGGAGAAAGCAGGGGACCUUCGGGCCUUGCGCUAUCAGAUGAGCCUAGGUCGGAUUAGCUAGUUGGUGAGGUAAUGGCUCACCAAGGCGACGAUCCGUAACUGGUCUGAGAGGAUGAUCAGUCACACUGGAACUGAGACACGGUCCAGACUCCUACGGGAGGCAGCAGUGGGGAAUAUUGGACAAUGGGCGAAAGCCUGAUCCAGCCAUGCCGCGUGUGUGAAGAAGGUCUUCGGAUUGUAAAGCACUUUAAGUUGGGAGGAAGGGCAGUAAAUUAAUACUUUGCUGUUUUGACGUUACCGACAGAAUAAGCACCGGCUAACUCUGUGCCAGCAG